GACGUAGGGCGCGAGCGUUGUCCGGAUUUAUUGGGCGUAAAGGGCUCGUAGGCGGUUUGUCGCGUCGGGAGUGAAAUCCACUGGCUUAACUGGUGGCUUGCUUUCGAUACGGGCAGACUAGAGUUCGGUAGGAGAGUCUGGAAUUCCUGGUGUAGCGGUGAAAUGCGCAGAUAUCAGGAGGAACACCGGUGGCGAAGGCGGGACUCUGGGCCGAUACUGACGCUGAGGAGCGAAAGCGUGGGGAGCAAACAGG
RNAcentral lists this ribosomal RNA (253 nucleotides) under uncultured bacterium. RNAcentral's name for it is "partial 16S ribosomal RNA". It matches the Rfam family "Bacterial small subunit ribosomal RNA", at positions 524 to 776 of the family's 1533-position model. The record is from RNAcentral.